RNAcentral lists this transfer RNA (72 nucleotides) under Fukomys damarensis (Damara mole-rat). It matches the Rfam family "tRNA". Rfam says of the family: Transfer RNA (tRNA) molecules are approximately 80 nucleotides in length. Their secondary structure includes four short double-helical elements and three loops (D, anti-codon, and T loops). Lineage: Eukaryota; Metazoa; Chordata; Mammalia; Rodentia; Bathyergidae. The record is from Rfam by way of RNAcentral.
UGGGGUGUAGCUCAGUGGUAGAGCACUUUCUUAGCAUGCGUGAGGCCCUGAGUUUGAUUCCCAACACUACAA